Long non-coding RNA from Passer montanus (Eurasian tree sparrow), 486 nucleotides. RefSeq lists it as uncharacterized. NCBI's taxonomy places the organism in Eukaryota, Metazoa, Chordata, Aves, Passeriformes, Passeridae. The transcript is spliced from 3 exons. The record is from RefSeq and is a predicted model, not a curated record.
CCCCCCGUGCAGAGCUUACCCGCGGCCCCUGCCGCCUCGCGCCCCCCCUCCCUUUAUGGCCGCCCCUCACCCGCCCCCCUCACGGCCUCGGCCAUGGCCGGGCCCGCCCGCAGAACGGCAGCGGCGCCGGGAAGAGGAGGAGGAAGAGGAGGAGGAGGAGGAGGAGUUCAAGAGCUCGAGCUCCGAGAGACGCAAUAAGCGAUUGUGCCAUGAGUCUUGGCAGCGCCAAAUCCGUGAGCAGGGGCUGGUGCAAACAGGAGAGUACAGGGCUACACCUCUUUAACUGCUCCCAGGUUAUGUUUAUUGUGGAUCACACCAUCUCAUGAAGAAAGAGGGCAUGAGUUCAGGACCUGCCUUUUCCUGUAGCCUUGGGUAAAGCAGUUCCCUUUACACAGCUGGAUUUUGACUGCUGUUUAAAUGGAAAUAAAGAAUACCUUUUCUCUUUUCAAGCAUUGAGUAACAGCCUCAAUGUUUGGUGUGGAUUAA